GAUGCGUAACCGCAUUCUUGGUCUUGACAUUUAGAGGCAUAACUGCCUUUUCCUCUCGAGUACCUCACACCUAAUAAUUCCUAUUUACACCUCUUGAUUUGAAUUAAUGAAAUUUUAAUUAUUAAAAUAAUUUGGCUAAGGUGCGUAACCGCAUCCUUGAAUUUGGCCAAGGUGCGUAACCGCAUCCUUCAGUUUCUUAAGUAUC
This 205-nucleotide long non-coding RNA is filed under the name Solanum tuberosum (potato). RNAcentral describes it as "long non-coding RNA (STUB_LNC004684)". The record is from RNAcentral. Lineage: Eukaryota; Viridiplantae; Streptophyta; Magnoliopsida; Solanales; Solanaceae.